UUUUAAAAAAAAAAAAAAAAAUCGCUAUAAAGGAGAGAGAAAAAGUAAGAGUUUACCUACUCCCAAAGAGCUGACUUCUACAAUCAAACCUCUCUGAUGUCGUCUUCAUGCUUCUUCUUCACUGAGGUAGUGUUGUCUUCUGCAGAAGUGGCAUCAUGUAUUAAAUCAUUGCGUAAAUUAGUCAUUGGCUAGUGUUCGGUGAAGAAGUUGGUUGAGUCUCUUAGUGGCUU
Chenopodium quinoa (quinoa) is the source of this 230-nucleotide long non-coding RNA. RefSeq lists it as uncharacterized. The transcript has 2 exons. The record is from RefSeq and is a predicted model, not a curated record. Lineage: Eukaryota; Viridiplantae; Streptophyta; Magnoliopsida; Caryophyllales; Amaranthaceae.